Sander lucioperca (pikeperch) is the source of this 486-nucleotide long non-coding RNA. RefSeq lists it as uncharacterized. The record is from RefSeq and is a predicted model, not a curated record. The transcript is spliced from 2 exons. NCBI's taxonomy places the organism in Eukaryota, Metazoa, Chordata, Actinopteri, Perciformes, Percidae.
AAAAAAGAACAACGUUUAAUGAAUUAAAUCAAUUCUACAUACUAUAUACUAUCUAAUACUGGCUAUGCCUUGUUGUGAAUAGAAUGAAAGAGAGCUGUGCCUGAAUCCACUGUCGUCACGGAGUUAAAGGCAGUGAAUUCCAUUAAAAUGGUGGAGGACGUGGAGAUUUGAGAAGCGCUACUCACGGGAGGUCCGGUCCACAGAGGGAUAUUGGACCACAUCGACUCUUCAGAUCCCAGAGACUUCCAGGGUUUAGAGAUUCCCAGUUCAGUUGGCUGGGUGGCGAGCUACAGGAUGGAGACUCUGAACUUAGACGGAUUGCCCUGGAUUCCUUCUUCAUGGUGGUAGGACAAACAGAAACCAAAGUCAUAUGGGCCCCAACGUUGAACAUCUCUGAACUCUUGUCAUCAAAGAACAAUUGAGCUCAUAGAACUGAAAAGGGUUUCUGUUAUGUGCGCACUUUAUUAUUUUAGUUGUUAUUUUUCA